GACGAACGCUGGCGGCGCGCCUCAUACAUGCAAGUCGAACGAAAACUCGGAGCUUGCUCCGGGUGGACAGUGGCGAACGGGUGAGUAACACGUGAGAAACCUGCCCCGAAGACCGGGACAACACCGGGAAACCGGGUGCCGUAAUACCGGGAUGUCCUUACCGGACCGCAUGAUCUGGUAAGGAAAUGGAUUCCGCUUCGGGAUGGUCUCGCGGCCUAUCA
RNAcentral lists this ribosomal RNA (221 nucleotides) under uncultured bacterium. RNAcentral's name for it is "partial 16S ribosomal RNA". It matches the Rfam family "Bacterial small subunit ribosomal RNA", at positions 28 to 243 of the family's 1533-position model. The record is from RNAcentral.